Molecule: ribosomal RNA, 723 nt
Filed under: uncultured fungus
Lineage: Eukaryota; Fungi
Description: SSU rRNA
Rfam family: Eukaryotic small subunit ribosomal RNA
Source: RNAcentral
CGAUUUUAGCAUGGAAUAAUGAAUAGGACGUGUGGUUCUAUUUUGUUGGUUUCUAGGACCGCCGUAAUGAUUAAUAGGGACAGUCGGGGGCAUCAGUAUUCAAUUGUCAGAGGUGAAAUUCUUGGAUUUAUUGAAGACUAACUACUGCGAAAGCACUUGCUAAGGAUGUUUUCAUUAAUCAGGAACGAAAGUUAGGGGAUCGAAAACGAUCAGAUACCGUCGUAGUCUUAACCAUAAACUAUGCCGACUAGGGAUCGGACGAUGUUAUUUUUUGACGCGUUCGGCACCUUACAAGAAAUCAAAGUGCUUGGGCUCCAGGGGGAGUAUGGUCGCAAGGCUGAAACUUAAAGAAAUUGACGGAAGGGCACCGCCAGGGGUGGAGCCUGCGGUUUAAUUUGACUCAACACGGGGAGACUCACCAGGUCCAGACACAAUGAGGAUUGACAGAUUGAGAGCUCUUUCUUGAUUUUGUGGGUGGUGGUGCAUGGCCGUUCUUAGUUGGUGGAGUGAUUUGUCUGCUUAAUUGCGAUAACGAACGAGACCUUAACCUGCUAAAUAGCCCGUAUUGCUUUGGCAGCACGCUGGCUUCUUAGAGGGACUAUCGGCUCAAGCCGAUGGAAGUUUGAGGCAAUAACAGGUCUGUGAUGCCCUUAUAUGUUCUGGGCCGCACGCGCGCUACACUGACAGAGUCAGCGAGUACUCCCUUGGGCGGAAGGCCCGGGU